CCCCUGGGUCCCAUCUCAAGAGGCCUCCUGGGGGAGCAGAAGGUUCACAGAGCUGGACCACUUGUAUGUCUACUGUGGCCUUCCUGGAGUGUUAUAGAGUACCUAGAAGGGCCCAGGGCUGCAGUUGGGCAUCUCUUGGGGACAGGGUGGAGGCUGAGCUGAGCCCUGAGCCAGUGGCAUCCAUUUCUGCAUACUGCCUCUCACCAUGUGUGCGGUCUGCAUCCCUCACAAGUCCGUGUCACCUAGGAACCAGAUACGGCCUCCAAGGACAUGAUGGGGCAAGUGCAUGUAUUUCCCAGAAGACAUGGAUGAGGGUGCACACAGAGCCCUGAAGACCCAUGCACUGGGGAAGACAGGUCCAUUAAGCCAUCAUCAGCACAGUAGGUACUCCAGAGCAAUGAAAUAACAUUCGCACAAUGAUUUUCACACACUGUUCAGAACGGUUUCAUUUAUGAUGACCCUCGGCUGGCACAAACCCACAUGUGUCAACAGGGACUUACGCAGGCUCCUGAAAACCAUGCUGUAAGCGUGACUUCGCUUCUCAGACCACACUGACAGGACCACGGACCAACCAAGGGUCUUUCCCUGGGAUGCAGAGGCAGCCACCACAGGUUCUGUAUCGAAUGACAGGGAGUGGUGGAGCAGCCCCAGUCUGUGGGCAGAACUGGGGAGAAUAGCCAAUCCUCUGAGGAGAAGUGUGACAGCAUUCACAGAGACACCAGCGUGUGUCCUUCCCGCCUUCUCAUUGCUAAGGAUGUGGCUGUGAACAGCUCCUCGCUUCCAAGAUGCUUCUGAUGGGGCAUCCUCGCUGUUGACUUACUAGAUUGAAGUCACCUAGGAGACACUAUCUGCUGUGUCUGCGAAGGAGCUUCUAGAAAUGUGUAUCUAAGGAGGGAGACUCACACUGAACAUGGAUGGUAUCAUUCUGUGGCCUGGGGGUCCCAGACUGAAUAAAUAGGGAGAAAGAGAACACGAGCCCAGCUCUGGCGUUUUUCUGCUUCCUGACUGUAGAUGCCAUGUAACCAGCUGCCUCAUGCUCCUGACACCAUGCCUGCCUGGCCGUGGUGGACUGUACGCUUCAACCUGUGAGCCAGAAUAAACCCUCCCUUCCUUAAGUCCCCUUUGUCAGGCGUUUUGCCAUCGCAAUGAGAAAAGUAAUGGGUGCAGUUUCUCGACCUCACUAACUAUGCUGCAAAUCUUUUCUUGGUGGACAUUUCUAGUGCCUCAUUCAUUCGUUCAUCCAUUCAUUCACUUAUUCAGCCAUCAAACCCUUACUGAGACUUUCUACAUGUCAAAUGCUGCUCUAGAUGCAGAGGAAAGGGCAGUGGAGUGCUCUCGUGUCAGGGAGAUGGACACUAAACCAACUGACAAAUACAGUACAGUCGAUGGUGCUGGGACUCCGAAGACAAGGCGAGGGAGAGAGACUAUAUCUGCUGUAGUGUGAGGUGCUGUGUUCGUAGGGUCUGAGUCUGUUUGUGCUGCUGUAACAAAAUCCUUGGGGUUCGUUAACUCAUAAAGAAGAGAAACUUACUUUUCCACCUGGAGAGUCUGGAUGUCCCAGAUGGAGCAUGAAGUCUGUACCUCAGAGGAGGAAACGCCACCACCUCGUGGUGAAAGGCAGAAACGCAGAGGAGUCCAAAUGAGUGCACUGAGCCCUUUCAGAAGGCUUGGCACCUCACCCCACUCACCACGGAUUACCUAUUUGAGGUCCCAUCGCUUAAUGCUGUCACAGUGGCAGCAAUUGGCUAAUGCUUUGGGAGCUUCAUCUUCUUUCCCCCAAGAAACUGAUAGCUGGGCAACUGUGCUUAGAGGGAGGGGCCCCAGAGGAAGCUGGGGCAGGGGAAAGGCAGGGGUAGGGGGUGUCUCUAGUUGCCUAGGCCGAGGCUCAUAUCCAAGUAGUGGUCAGUCUCCUGCACGGUGUCUGCAGGUUAUACAAUGAGAGCUGUCCUCAAACUCACAAUUCAACCACCUCUCCCAUUUCAUUGACACUCAGGGUCUGCAGUGGUCAGUCUCCUGCAUGGUGUCUGCAGGUUAUACAAUGAGCUGUCCUCAAACUCACAAUUCAACCACCUCUCCCAUUUCAUUGACACUCAGGGUCCGCAGUGGUCAGUCUCCUGCAUGGUGUCUGCAGGUUAUACAAUGAGCUGUCCUCAAACUCACAAUUCAACCACCUCUCCCAUUUCAUUGACACUCGGGGUCUGCCUAGAGCCAUGUCACACCCCUCUUUCGAUAGAGAUUUGUAUAUUGAAGUAUAUUUCACAAGUCUGGUUCCAGGCAGAGGAUGUGGGAGAAGACCCUGGCAACCUAAAGAGCUUCCUCUGUCCCGUGUGAAGGAAGGACAGAGGCACACUGGGCCUGUGGGGUGUGGGACCCCUAAGGGACAGAUUUUCUGACAUUAGAAGAGGAGGGAAAUCUUACAUGAAUUGUCAUUGUCAACCACAAUGGGACCAGAGAGAUGGCUCUGUUGGUAAAGUGCUGACAUUAUAAGCAUGAAGACCAGACCCACAUAAGAAGCCAGAUGCAGCGGUAUACACUUGUCAUCUCAGAGCUGGACACGGGCAGAUGCCUGCCAAGCUGGCUUCCUCGGAGAGUUCCAGGUAAUGAAAGACAAUGUCACAAAGAAAAAAAAACAUGUGUAUUUAAAGGGUGUCAUCUAGCCUACACACACACAGUACACACACAUAUACAUGCACACUCACAUGUACAAAGACACACACAGUGCACUCACAUACGUGCACACUCACAUGCACAUGUACAAAGACACACACUGUCCCCUAGAAUGAAGAGCCUCCCACUCCUUUGUAUGAGGGAGAAUGCCUCGUUUUAAGGCUCCCUCUAUUCUUGGGAAUUAUGUGGCGCUUCCAGAAGAGUGAGAAGCUUCUCAAGACUCCACUGUUGGGUUGGAAGAACCCACAGCUGAUCUGAGUUUAUUCAGCUACUAUUCAUGGACAUUGUUCACACUCAGCAUUUUGCACUAACCGUGGAUAGCAGAGUUAAACAAGCCUGCUUCACAAGCCUUCCCAGAAAGCAUGCAAAGCAGAGCAUCAGUAGGGUACCAGGUGACCUGGAAUCAUCAGUGGUGGCCCAUUUUCCCACUUUAUUAAUCUAUAAAAGACACUGCCAUGGAAAAAUGAAUCCCAAGCCACAAGCCCUCAUUUGCACAAUUGUGGGACAGUUCCUCACUGCACAGCCACUUACCCUGAGGCUUCUACUCCUCUGCCAAAAUCCUGUCACCUGCUUUCCAGCCCUCCUGAGAGGAAAGUGACACUUGGUUCCAGGAGUAAGCUGGAGUAUCCUUUGCUGGAUACCGAGGACUGGAUCCAGGCAUGGAGGGGCUCUCCAUGGCGCUCUUCCCAGCGGCUUCUGUGCUGGCCUCUUUUUCUCCCUCCACAGUUCUUUUCUUCCAUCUUCUUUUGCCACACUUCCCCACAGUGUUUCAGUCUGUGGUAGGCACAAAGAUGCCGCUUGGUAAAGGGUUCCGGGCUGGGCCCAGCUAAGCCACGGUUCUGGUGCUCAGGGUCCAGCUGUGGCAGCUUCAGCAGCUCCAAUGCUCACAGGUGUUCUGUGGAUCAGUGGAGACACCUUUGCCCCUGUGUCCAAGAGUCCAGCCUUUAUCCUAGAUAAUGCUGCAGGAUGCAAGCUGAGCAGAACUUGAACCACUCACGCUCACCAUUUAACUUUGUUUCUUCUUCUUCAAUUUCUUCAAGACAGGGUUUCUCUGUGUUACAGCCCUGGCCAUACUGGAAUUCACUUUGCAGAUCAGGCUGGCCUCAUAUUCACAGAUAUCUACUUGCCUUUGCAGAUCUCUGCUGGGAUCAAAGACCUGUGCAACCAUGCUUGGCUCACACUUGAAUAUUUUUUUAAGAAUUUUUAGCUUUAAAAAGUC
Molecule: long non-coding RNA, 3886 nt
Organism: Mesocricetus auratus (golden hamster)
Lineage: Eukaryota; Metazoa; Chordata; Mammalia; Rodentia; Cricetidae
Exons: 4
Source: RefSeq, a predicted model, not a curated record